RNAcentral lists this ribosomal RNA (308 nucleotides) under uncultured bacterium. RNAcentral describes it as "partial 16S ribosomal RNA". It matches the Rfam family "Bacterial small subunit ribosomal RNA", at positions 505 to 809 of the family's 1533-position model. The record is from RNAcentral.
GAGACAGCAGUAGCCGCGGUAAUACAGAGGGUGCGAGCGUUAAUCGGAUUUACUGGGCGUAAAGCGUGCGUAGGCGGCUUCUUAAGUCGGAUGUGAAAUCCCUGAGCUUAACUUAGGAAUUGCAUUCGAUACUGGGAAGCUAGAGUAUGGGAGAGGAUGGUAGAAUUCCAGGUGUAGCGGUGAAAUGCGUAGAGAUCUGGAGGAAUACCGAUGGCGAAGGCAGCCAUCUGGCCUAAUACUGACGCUGAGGUACGAAAGCAUGGGGAGCAAACAGGAUUAGAUACCACUGUAGUCCCUGUCUCUUAUAA